GUAACUCACACAACCAUCUCGGUAGCUUUUUUUACAUCAACACUGAAGGCCGAACUCAGACCGUCGCCUAGAUGAGAAGUGGUCAUAGCGAUAAUGGAAGGGAAAUUUUUUGACGCUUAAAAUUACACGGAUGUGAAUUACACGGCACCAAAUUGGAGGCGUUUGCCAACCGGGUCACCUAAUACUGAGGAGCUCCAAGGGAAAAGAAGGGACGUGCUAAAAGGUUGGACGCGCGGCUGGGGUGCGGAAUUAAUGCCUCUAAUUCCAGAUUAGAUUUCACAUUCAACGUUGCUCAUUGUCGAAGCUGCGACCAGAAGAAGAGACCGCUUGCGGCGAAACCCGAGUCUGCACGGAGCCAAAUGGUCCGGAGGAUUCACACAGCGUCUGCGUUAGAGGGCCUGGAGGCAGUGCGUCAGUGGUCCCAGAGAUGACCAGGUGGUCAGCGCGGGUGUUCGUUCCCGGAACGGACUCACCGAGGGAAUCUCCGUAUGUGGCUGACGCGGAAGG
This is a long non-coding RNA of Drosophila gunungcola (fruit fly), 507 nucleotides long. RefSeq lists it as uncharacterized. Lineage: Eukaryota; Metazoa; Arthropoda; Insecta; Diptera; Drosophilidae. The record is from RefSeq and is a predicted model, not a curated record. The transcript has 4 exons.